ACUAAGGGGGUGUUUGGGAAACACCUGUUAAAGUUUAACACCUAUCACAUCGGAUGUUUGGAUGCUAAUUAGGAGUACUAAACAUAAGCUAAUUACAAAACUAAUUGCACGGAUGGAGUAUAAUUCGCGAGACGAAUCUAUUAAGCCUAAUUAGUCCAUGAUUUGACAAUGUGGUGCUACAGUAACCAUUUGCUAAUGAUGGAUUAAUUAGGCUUAAUAGAUUCGUCUCGCG
This 232-nucleotide long non-coding RNA is filed under the name Setaria italica (foxtail millet). RNAcentral's name for it is "long non-coding RNA (SITA_LNC002215)". Lineage: Eukaryota; Viridiplantae; Streptophyta; Magnoliopsida; Poales; Poaceae. The record is from RNAcentral.